CCUACGGGUGGCAGCAGUGGGGAAUAUUGCGCAAUGGGCGAAAGCCUGACGCAGCGACGCCGCGUGAGGGAUGAAGGUCUUCGGAUCGUAAACCUCUGUCAGCAGGGAAGAACGGUCACGGUGCUAAUCAGCAGUGAAUUGACGGUACCGGCAAAGGAAGCACCGGCUAACGCCGUGCCAGCAGCCGCGGUAAGACGGAGGGUGCGAGCGUUCAGCGGAAUUACUGGGCGUAAAGCGCUCGUAGGCGGUAUGUCCAGUCAAGGGUGAAAUCCCCGCGCUCAACGUGGGAACUGCCUUUGCAACUUGCAACCUGGAGUGUGUUAGAGGAUAGUGGCCUUCCAGUUGUA
This 347-nucleotide ribosomal RNA is filed under the name uncultured bacterium. RNAcentral's name for it is "partial 16S ribosomal RNA". It matches the Rfam family "Bacterial small subunit ribosomal RNA", at positions 338 to 677 of the family's 1533-position model. The record is from RNAcentral.